This 920-nucleotide ribosomal RNA is filed under the name uncultured bacterium. Its description in RNAcentral is "bacterial SSU rRNA". It matches the Rfam family "Bacterial small subunit ribosomal RNA", at positions 1 to 909 of the family's 1533-position model. The record is from RNAcentral.
AAUUCGCCCUUAGAGUUUGAUCCUGGCUCAGGAUGAACGCUAGCUACAGGCUUAACACAUGCAAGUCGAGGGGCAGCGGGAUUGAAGCUUGCUUCAAUUGCCGGCGACCGGCGCACGGGUGAGUAACGCGUAUCCAACCUUCCGUACACUCAGGGAUAGCCUUUCGAAAGAAAGAUUAAUACCUGAUGGUAUGAUGAGAUUGCAUGAUAGCAUCAUUAAAGAUUUAUCGGUGUACGAUGGGGAUGCGUUCCAUUAGGUAGUAGGCGGGGUAACGGCCCACCUAGCCAACGAUGGAUAGGGGUUCUGAGAGGAAGGUCCCCCACAUUGGAACUGAGACACGGUCCAAACUCCUACGGGAGGCAGCAGUGAGGAAUAUUGGUCAAUGGCCGAGAGGCUGAACCAGCCAAGUCGCGUGAAGGAAGAAGGAUCUAUGGUUUGUAAACUUCUUUUAUAAGGGAAUAAACCCUCCCACGUGUGGGAGCUUGUAUGUACCUUAUGAAUAAGCAUCGGCUAACUCCGUGCCAGCAGCCGCGGUAAUACGGAGGAUGCGAGCGUUAUCCGGAUUUAUUGGGUUUAAAGGGAGCGCAGACGGGUCGUUAAGUCAGCUGUGAAAGUUUGGGGCUCAACCUUAAAAUUGCAGUUGAUACUGGCGUCCUUGAGUGCGGUUGAGGUGUGCGGAAUUCGUGGUGUAGCGGUGAAAUGCUUAGAUAUCACGAAGAACUCCGAUUGCGAAGGCAGCACACUAAUCCGUAACUGACGUUCAUGCUCGAAAGUGUGGGUAUCAAACAGGAUUAGAUACCCUGGUAGUCCACACGGUAAACGAUGGAUACUCGCUGUUGGCGAUAUACUGUCAGCGGCUUAGCGAAAGCGUUAAGUAUCCCACCUGGGGAGUACGCCGGCAACGGUGAAACUCAAAGGAC